RNAcentral lists this ribosomal RNA (465 nucleotides) under uncultured bacterium. Its description in RNAcentral is "partial 16S ribosomal RNA". It matches the Rfam family "Bacterial small subunit ribosomal RNA", at positions 28 to 507 of the family's 1533-position model. The record is from RNAcentral.
GACGAACGCUGGCGGCGUGCUUAACACAUGCAAGUCGAACGGAAAGGCCCUGCUUGCAGGGUACUCGAGUGGCGAACGGGUGAGUAACACGUGGGUGAUCUGCCCUGCACUUCGGGAUAAGCCUGGGAAACUGGGUCUAAUACCGGAUAGGAGCCAUUUUUAGUGUGAUGGUUGGAAAGUUUUUUCGGUGUAGGAUGAGCUCGCGGCCUAUCAGCUUGUUGGUCGGGUAAUGGCCUACCAAGGCGGCGACGGGUAGCCGGCCUGAGAGGGUGGACGGCCACAUUGGGACUGAGAUACGGCCCAGACUCCUACGGGAGGCAGCAGUGGGGAAUAUUGCACAAUGGGCGCAAGCCUGAUGCAGCGACGCCGCGUGGGGGAUGACGGCCUUCGGGUUGUAAACUCCUUUCGCUAGGGACGAAGCUUUUUGUGACGGUACCUAGAUAAGAAGCACCGGCUAACUACGUG